CAUCUCAGUACCCACAGGAAGAGAAAGCAACCGCGAUUCCGUGAGUAGUGGCGAGCGAAAGCGGAAGAGGCUAAACCUCAGUUGUGUGAUACCUGUCAGGGGUUGCAGCUGGGGGGUCGUGGGACUUUUCGGUCAGUGCUGACACGCUGGCAUGGAGUCAGAAAUGCGCGUUGUAGUCGAAGGGCAUUGAAAGGCCCGGCACAGAGGGUGCUACCCCCGUAGACGAAACGAUGCGCACUCCAGAGAAGUAUCCCAAGUAGCACGGGGCCCGAGAAAUCCCGUGUGAAUCUGGCGGGACCACCCGCUAAGCCUAAAUAUUCCCUGGUGACCGAUAGCGGACAAGUACCGUGAGGGAAAGGUGAAAAGUACCCCGGGAGGGGAGUGAAAUAGAUCCUGAAACCGUGUGCCUACAAUCCGUCGGAGCCUCCUUGUGGGGUGACGGCGUGCCUUUUGAAGAAUGAGCCUGCGAGUUAGUGCUCAGUGGCGAGGUUAACCCGUGUGGGGAAGCCGUAGCGAAAGCGAGUCCGAAUAGGGCGUUUUAGUCGCUGGGUCUAGACCCGAAGCGGAGUGAUCUACCCAUGGCCAGGUUGAAGCGACGGUAAGACGUCGUGGAGGACCGAACCCACUUAGGUUGAAAACUGAGGGGAUGAGCUGUGGGUAGGGGUGAAAGGCCAAUCAAACUCCGUGAUAGCUGGUUCUCCCCGAAAUGCAUUUAGGUGCAGCGUCACGUGUUUCUUACCGGAGGUAGAGCUACUGGAUAGCUGAUGGGCCUCACCAGGUUACUGACGUUAGCCAAACUCCGAAUGCCGGUAAGUGAGAGCGUGGCAGUGAGACUGCGGGGGAUAAGCUCCGUAGUCGAGAGGGAAACAGCCCAGACCACCAUCUAAGGUCCCUAAGCGUGUGCUAAGUGGGAAAGGAUGUGGAGUUGCAUUGACAACCAGGAGGUUGGCUUAGAAGCAGCCACCCUUUAAAGAGUGCGUAAUAGCUCACUGGUCAAGUGAUUCCGCGCCGACAAUGUAGCGGGGCUCAAGCACACCACCGAAGCUGUGGCAUUGACACACUGCUCGGCCAGUUUUCCUGCGGGGUUCUGGUCCAGGCGUGUUGAUGGGUAGGGGAGCGUCGUGUGGCCAGGGAAGCGGCGGAGUGAUCCAGCCGUGGAGGCCACACGAGUGAGAAUGCAGGCAUGAGUAGCGAAUGACGGGCGAGAAACCCGUCCGCCGAAUAACCAAGGGUUCCAGGGUCAAGCUAAUCUGCCCUGGGUAAGUCGGGACCUAAGGCGAGGCCGACAGGCGUAGUCGAUGGACAUCCGGUUGAUAUUCCGGAACCGGCGAAGAACCGCCCAUGACGAACCUAGUGAUGCUAAAC
Molecule: ribosomal RNA, 1365 nt
Filed under: Salmonella enterica subsp. enterica serovar Saintpaul
Lineage: Bacteria; Pseudomonadati; Pseudomonadota; Gammaproteobacteria; Enterobacterales; Enterobacteriaceae
Description: partial 23S ribosomal RNA
Rfam family: Bacterial large subunit ribosomal RNA
Source: RNAcentral